CAACCUUUCUCGUAACGUUUCGCGUUUACCCGCCUACAAACAGAGGGCCUUAGCGGCCUCUCACUAAAUUAGCGGGUGGGAAAUUCGGUGGUUCUCCCCAUCCUAGGGGACUCUGUCCCUAAAUUAAUACUCUUGAGAGUGUCCUUAGCGUGAAAACGCCGGGCAAUGCCAUAAGAAAGCAGCAGAAUUUAUUCUGCAUGGGAGGCAUUGCGGAUGGUUGGUCUUUUAUUAUGAGAAAAGGCUAUUGAGUGCAAUAUGCGAACUUGAUUUAUUCAAAUUAAGCACCCGAUACCGAUCAUCGUUGUGAGUAAGGUUAU
Molecule: RNase P RNA, 317 nt
Filed under: Debaryomyces hansenii CBS767
Lineage: Eukaryota; Fungi; Ascomycota; Pichiomycetes; Serinales; Debaryomycetaceae
Rfam family: Nuclear RNase P
About the family: Ribonuclease P (RNase P) is a ubiquitous endoribonuclease, found in archaea, bacteria and eukarya as well as chloroplasts and mitochondria. Its best characterised activity is the generation of mature 5'-ends of tRNAs by cleaving the 5'-leader elements of precursor-tRNAs.
Source: RNAcentral